This 164-nucleotide ribosomal RNA is filed under the name uncultured bacterium. Its description in RNAcentral is "partial 16S ribosomal RNA". It matches the Rfam family "Bacterial small subunit ribosomal RNA", at positions 355 to 511 of the family's 1533-position model. The record is from RNAcentral.
UAGGGAAUCUUCCACAAUGGACGCAAGUCUGAUGGAGCAACGCCGCGUGAGUGAAGAAGGGUUUCGGCUCGUAAAGCUCUGUUGUUAAAGAAGAACGUGGGUAAGAGUAACUGUUCAUACGUUGACGGUAUUUAACCAGAAAGUCACGGCUAACUACGUGCCAG